AUACGGAGGGUGCAAGCGUCACUCGGAAUCACUGGGCGUAAAGCGCGCGCAGGCGGCUUGAUAAGUUGGAUGUGAAAGCCUACGGCUCAACCGUAGAACUGCAUCCAAAACUGUCAGGCUAGAGUGUGGGAGAGGAAGAUGGAAUUAGUUGUGUAGGGGUAAAAUCCGUAGAGAUAACUAGGAAUACCGAAAGCGAAGGCAAUCUUCUGGAACACUACUGACGCUGAGGCGCGAAGGCGUGGGGAGCAAACAGGAUUAGAAACCCUAGUAGUCC
Molecule: ribosomal RNA, 274 nt
Filed under: uncultured bacterium
Lineage: Bacteria
Description: partial 16S ribosomal RNA
Rfam family: Bacterial small subunit ribosomal RNA
Source: RNAcentral